UACGUAGGGUGCGAGCGUUGUCCGGAAUUAUUGGGCGUAAAGGGCUCGUAGGCGGUUUGUCGCGUCGGGAGUGAAAACCAUGGGCUUAACUCAUGGCUUGCUUCCGAUACGGGCAGACUAGAGGUAUGCAGGGGAGAACGGAAUUCCUGGUGUAGCGGUGGAAUGCGCAGAUAUCAGGAGGAACACCGGUGGCGAAGGCGGGUCUCUGGGCAGUAACUGACGCUGAGGAGCGAAAGCGUGGGGAGCGAACAGG
This 253-nucleotide ribosomal RNA is filed under the name uncultured bacterium. Its description in RNAcentral is "partial 16S ribosomal RNA". It matches the Rfam family "Bacterial small subunit ribosomal RNA", at positions 524 to 776 of the family's 1533-position model. The record is from RNAcentral.